This 396-nucleotide ribosomal RNA is filed under the name uncultured bacterium. RNAcentral describes it as "bacterial SSU rRNA". It matches the Rfam family "Bacterial small subunit ribosomal RNA", at positions 107 to 499 of the family's 1533-position model. The record is from RNAcentral.
UGAGUAAUGCAUCGGAACGUGCCCGGUCGUGGGGGAUAACACUUCGAAAGAAGUGCUAAUACCGCAUACGAUCUAUGGAUGAAAGCGGGGGACCGUAAGACCUCUCGCUAUUGGAGCGGCCGAUAUCAGAUUAGCUAGUUGGUGGGGUAAAGGCCUACCAAGGCAACGAUCUGUAGUUGGUCUGAGAGGACGACCAGCCACACUGGGACUGAGACACGGCCCAGACUCCUACGGGAGGCAGCAGUGGGGAAUUUUGGACAAUGGGCGCAAGCCUGAUCCAGCAAUGCCGCGUGCAGGAAGAAGGCCUUCGGGUUGUAAACUGCUUUUGUACGGAGCGAAAAGGCUCUCUCUAAUACAGGGGGCUGAUGACGGUACCGUAAGAAUAAGCACCGGCUA